Long non-coding RNA from Talpa occidentalis (Iberian mole), 547 nucleotides. RefSeq lists it as uncharacterized. The transcript has 3 exons. The record is from RefSeq and is a predicted model, not a curated record. NCBI's taxonomy places the organism in Eukaryota, Metazoa, Chordata, Mammalia, Eulipotyphla, Talpidae.
UUGGAUGGCAACUGGCAGACGUCUGCCACAGGGACCUUGACCCCAUCAAACUUGGCUCCUCAUUUAUAGAAACUGAUGGUGGUGGUGGCCAAGUUUUCACGAUGCAGAACUCUUCUAAAGCGACGCAGGGCAUCUAGCGUUCCUGAGCCCUGCCUAUUAAGUGCCACAGUGCCCCUAGGGAUGCGAGUGCCCAACUACCCCACUCUUUUCGAACUGUCCCAGGGGAUAGUACUACACUGUUGAGAUCCUCUUGGCAAGAUGAUUUAAAGUCCAAGGAAGAGCUGCGUUCUAUCUCGAGGUACCCCUUCUGAUCUGCCCCUUGGAUGAUCUGAAGAGAAACCCUCCCUGCUGAUAAACUGGAUCAAGGCUGCUAUGAGCCUCCAACUUCUCCCCCAGAGCACUCCUGACAACAGAGUGUGAACACCACUCCAGCCUGCCACAAGAGCAACGGCAGCGGGCGACGGGGUGGUGAAGAGCCUCGGGCGCGGCCUCGCCUCCGCGACCCGGCGAUCAGCACCGCGGACAGCACCGCCGCAGUUCCCCGAAG